GACUCCCAACGACCUCCUUUUGUCCUACUAUCUUUUCCCUGGAAGCACAAAAUGCUUUUCGCAAAAAAAUUUAAGCUGAAAUAUCCUGUUCGGCGAUUGAAAGAACUUAAGAAAAAAAGAACUGGAUGCUUCUGAUUAAUUGGUUAAAGCUGAAAUAUCAUGUUCGGCGAUUGAAAGAACUUAAGAAAAAAAGAACUGGAUGCUUCUGAUUAAUUGGUUAAAGCUGAAAUGUCCUAUUCGCCACGGUAGAAAGAACUUAAGAAAAAAAAACUGCAUGCUUCUGGUUAAUUGGUUAAAGCUGAAAUAUCCUGUUCGUCGACAUCUGUUUACUGAGGCCUUUGGCUUGGAAUUCUGAUGAUGCCUCCGGAACUGCAAUUUACCUAAUGUGCUUGAUUCAUAAGAAG
RNAcentral lists this long non-coding RNA (404 nucleotides) under Ananas comosus (pineapple). RNAcentral's name for it is "long non-coding RNA (ACOM_LNC024503)". Lineage: Eukaryota; Viridiplantae; Streptophyta; Magnoliopsida; Poales; Bromeliaceae. The record is from RNAcentral.